RNAcentral lists this transfer RNA (69 nucleotides) under Sphaerodactylus townsendi. RNAcentral describes it as "tRNA-Thr". It matches the Rfam family "tRNA". From Rfam's summary of the family: Transfer RNA (tRNA) molecules are approximately 80 nucleotides in length. Their secondary structure includes four short double-helical elements and three loops (D, anti-codon, and T loops). Further hydrogen bonds mediate the characteristic L-shaped molecular structure. tRNAs have two regions of fundamental functional importance: the anti-codon, which is responsible for specific mRNA codon recognition, and the 3' end, to which the tRNAs corresponding amino acid is attached (by aminoacyl-tRNA synthetases). tRNAs cope with the degeneracy of the genetic code in two manners: having more than one tRNA (with a specific anti-codon) for a particular amino acid; and 'wobble' base-pairing, i.e. permitting non-standard base-pairing at the 3rd anti-codon position. The record is from RNAcentral. Lineage: Eukaryota; Metazoa; Chordata; Lepidosauria; Squamata; Sphaerodactylidae.
GCUGUGGCUCAGUGGUAGAGCAUUGACUUGGUGUGCAAAAGGUUCCAGGUUCAAUCCCUGACAUCUCUC